Molecule: ribosomal RNA, 765 nt
Filed under: uncultured Streptococcus sp.
Lineage: Bacteria; Bacillati; Bacillota; Bacilli; Lactobacillales; Streptococcaceae
Description: bacterial SSU rRNA
Rfam family: Bacterial small subunit ribosomal RNA
Source: RNAcentral
GAUGAACGCUGGCGGCGUGCCUAAUACAUGCAAGUAGAACGCUGAAGCUUGGUGCUUGCACCGAGCGGAUGAGUUGCGAACGGGUGAGUAACGCGUAGGUAACCUGCCUCUUAGCGGGGGAUAACUAUUGGAAACGAUAGCUAAUACCGCAUAAAAGUCAAUAUCGCAUGAUAUUGAUUUGAAAGGUGCAAAUGCAUCACUAAGAGAUGGACCUGCGUUGUAUUAGCUAGUUGGUGAGGUAACGGCUCACCAAGGCGACGAUACAUAGCCGACCUGAGAGGGUGAUCGGCCACACUGGGACUGAGACACGGCCCAGACUCCUACGGGAGGCAGCAGUAGGGAAUCUUCGGCAAUGGGGGCAACCCUGACCGAGCAACGCCGCGUGAGUGAAGAAGGUUUUCGGAUCGUAAAGCUCUGUUGUAAGAGAAGAACGAGUGUGAGAGUGGAAAGUUCACACUGUGACGGUAACUUACCAGAAAGGGACGGCUAACUACGUGCCAGCAGCCGCGGUAAUACGUAGGUCCCGAGCGUUAUCCGGAUUUAUUGGGCGUAAAGCGAGCGCAGGCGGUUAGAUAAGUCUGAAGUUAAAGGCUGUGGCUUAACCAUAGUACGCUUUGGAAACUGUUUAACUUGAGUGCAGAAGGGGAGAGUGGAAUUCCAUGUGUAGCGGUGAAAUGCGUAGAUAUAUGGAGGAACACCGGUGGCGAAAGCGGCUCUCUGGUCUGUAACUGACGCUGAGGCUCGAAAGCGUGGGGAGUAAACAGG